Molecule: non-coding RNA, 837 nt
Organism: Cicer arietinum (chickpea)
Lineage: Eukaryota; Viridiplantae; Streptophyta; Magnoliopsida; Fabales; Fabaceae
Source: RefSeq, a predicted model, not a curated record
AUUCCUUCUUACUAGAAAACUCCUGGAACAAACAUUUCAUUUUCUCAUAAUAAAUCAAUAUAGAAUCAUUUUCCUCUUCUCUAACAAAAUCGAUUUCUUCUUCUUCACUACAAAUUUGAUUUUCCUCUUCUUUACGGAAAAUUUUGAUUUUUCUCUUCAAUCAUGAAUCAUGUUUCCUCUUAACCGUAAAUUGAAGGUCGGAACUCUAAAUUGGUGAAUCUAUAGCUAUGAGAUACUCUAUCGCGUGAACACUCAUCUGAACAUAGAGUUUUGAAGCAUCAUGAUUUUGAUAUGGUCAAAAGUUAGUCUUCUGAGUUCAAGAGUGCUACUAUAAGUUACGAAGGAAUUGGACGCUCGUUAUCACUAAAACUUGUGCAGCAACUGCAAGAGCAAAGCCAUAUAUCUGCUAAGAGCACAUAGGGCACCGAAGCUUUUAAGGUGGUUGAUGAAAUGUUCAAGAACCAAAAAUGUUACCAUUCGUUUUGUUCUGAAUGUGUAACAAAACACGUAGCAACAAAAAUCCAAGAAAACAUUACGGUUGUUCCUUGUCCUGGUUUGAAUUGCAAGGGUUUGUUGGAGCUUGAUGUUUGCAGAAGUUUGAUUCCAAAAGAAAUAAUUGAUUGGUGGGAUUAUGCAUUGUGUGGGGGCGUUUUUACUAACUGUUCCUAAAAUAUAUUGUCCCUUUAAGGAUUAUUCAACAAUGUUGCUUGAUGAAAAUAAAGGUGGAGAAGAAAUUAGGGAAUUUGAGUGUCCUUUUUGAGUGAAGAUAGUUUUUAUGUACUCUAUAGAUUCGUUCAUCUUUAUUAAAUAUAAUUUUAGUUCUUGUUGGAGUGGCUA